Molecule: non-coding RNA, 2600 nt
Organism: Anas platyrhynchos (mallard)
Lineage: Eukaryota; Metazoa; Chordata; Aves; Anseriformes; Anatidae
Source: RefSeq, a predicted model, not a curated record
ACAGCAGCCGCCCGGCAGACGGCGCCGGCAGCUAGCGGGAGCGCGAUUCAUCGUUACGGGCUCUGUCGGUUUUCUGCCACCGGGCGGAAGGCGAGGCGAGCAGCUCUGUUCGGCUGUGGAAGUCAGGAGUCUGUCUGUGGGGCGCGUUACCGAGUAUCGGAGCAGCGCACAGCAGAGCACAGAGACAUCAUAUAUUCACCUGUCCAACCAUUAUGAAAUGACACGAAAGUGAAGGACACCAGUGGUAAUGCUGUUAACAAAAUACAACUGUUACCUCACAAGGGAAAGGAAAGGCAACUUGGUUUAACAUCCACUGUAUCGAUGUCAAAAGCAAGGCAUCCUGCUGCUCAAAAUUUGUACUUUGACUAACUGAUGAUUAGACAACCAAAAGCCAGACUUGUAAAAAGUGCUUCAGCUAUCAAGCUCUGUAAGAUAACACCUCUAUUAGUCUUCUAGUCCAUAUCUGAAGCCUCAUCCAGCUGGUGAAGACUACAUAAAAAAAAACAAACACAACACUUCUAAGCUGUAUCGCUAAUAGGAAUGCAUGCUACUGUGCACCUCACACAGUGCUGGCAUCAACGUUCAAUCCUUAGCAAAGGCAGAUCACGUGAUGUUACAGGCAGAAGUGGACAACGACAGAAAACAAGCUGUAGAGUGGCAGUCAACAUGAAAAUGAUUAACCCUUCAUGGUGAGAACAUAUCAACAUAACUUGCAGUGCCACCCCAUCUGGAACACUGCCAAGCAAAGAGCACAGCAAUACUCUGAGUGAAUUAGGGACAUUAGGGGCAAAGCUCUCCUGCCAACAGUCCAUGCCCACAAAGGACACCUAGAGGAAGAGUGCAAAAGGCUAAACACAUGGGGAGUGAGACAAAAAAAGCCCGAGAAAGAGAGUGUGAAGGGAGGGACUCAAGAGGCACCGUGAGAGUGAUUCACCAGGAGGGUAUUAGGGUGUACACAACAGGCACCGGCAGUAUCUUCUCAGAGCAGCGACAGAACUCAAACACUGCCAAGGGCAUUCCAUUCAGUGACAUUUUAAGGAAACUUAACCAAGCUGUAAACAUUCAAGCUCUGUAUGGAAUCAGCUACCUCAAGCCCACAUUUCUUGCAGAUCCUACAAUCUUUUAAAGGUUCUCUGCCACACUGAGGCCCAAUUUAGACAGUAACAAUGAACACAGCAAGAAUGUGAAAACUACAGAAGUGAAGGACUUCACGAUCACUUUACAGAUGUUCUUCUUUGCUCUGCCCAAGCAUUAUGCUUAAUGAGAUUCAAGUAAUGGACCUGCAACACGGUUGCUCUCAUAGUAUGUGUCUGCUUGCAAAGACAAUUCCAGCUCUACUCCUGAAAGGUCAAUGUUUGAAGAUCAUAAUGAGAAGUCAAAGCCUCCAAGAGCACUUCACACAUGAACAAUUCCCAAACUACGCCCAACUGUUACGAUUGCCUUCCCUCUUCAUGACAGCCUGAACAUCAUCAAAAGACCAAUUGGCCAGCCCGUUUUCUCCACAAUGUGCACAAAGACUACACUAUGGAUGGCUCCAAAGAAAAUUUUAUUUUAGACGAUAUGCAGCUAAGUUACACACAUGGACAUUUUUGAGUAUUCAUAGUAGUAGGGCAUAUAAGGUAGAUAGUAGGGAAUGAAUUCCCCAGAAGGUCUUCCUGAAGCUUCCAACACAGGAAAAAUAGCACUUCAAAUGCAAAACCUAUUCAUCAGAAAGACUUCAAAUUGCAUGAACCACAGCUGUAUGCCUAGGGGAAUAACUACAACAAGCAGGGAGAUAGGCAUCUGUUCUUCUAAAGCUCCAGACACAGUACCCGUACACUCUCACCUCAAACCUUUCACAACUUCAGUGCUUUACUUUCAUCCUCAGAAUCUGCAAAGACAUCUCGCCAAAAGACGAGUUCAAUGAACCAUUUCCCUAUAUCACACACCACAGCCACACUAUCAAGGAAUACCAAGAAGGGAUAUGUGCCCAGCCGUUCCAAAAGCAUACUAAUGAUCUAAGAGGAGAGAAAGGAGCUUCCACCAGAGACUGGGUCAUCAGAAACUUUUGGAGGGGAAUCUCCCCCUCCUGUAAGCACAUGCGCUGCUCCACACAAACAUUCCUCUUCCACUAACAUCACGUAUACAUCCAUUCUGGGGAAACAAAAAUGGAAGAGAACACACAAGUACUCUCACAUCUCCAGCCUUCCACCCCAGCUCCAACUUGCACCACGGAAAAUAACAUUCUACCAUAUGUUGGCUGCUGCCAAGAACGGCUCAUAGAGUGACAUAUUAAGGAAGCUUAAGUAUAACAAAUUUCUUGCUGUGAAAGCAACCAAAGUCCCUGUUCUUUAUGAAAACAGCUCUCCCGAUACGAAAUGUAACAUACAUAACAGACUUUUAAGGGUUCUCUAUGAUACGAAGGCCCAAUAUAGACACUGUCAACAUACAGGGCAAAAUCAUGAAACCCACAGAACACAAAAAGGACUUCACUUUCACCCUUCAGAUCUCAUUAUUUUAUCUUAGCAAAAACUAUGCUACAUGAAAUUGAAAUGAUGAACACAAAACAGCUCUGUUGCCAUACAUUAUGCCUGCUAGUAAACAUUGCUCCAUUCUUGUGA